UGUUGACCUCGGAUCAGGUAGGAAUACCCGCUGAACUUAAGCAUAUCAAAACCGCGGGAGAAAAAA
This 66-nucleotide ribosomal RNA is filed under the name Trichoderma asperellum. Its description in RNAcentral is "partial 28S ribosomal RNA". The record is from RNAcentral. Lineage: Eukaryota; Fungi; Ascomycota; Sordariomycetes; Hypocreales; Hypocreaceae.